GACGACGCUGGCGGCGUGCCUAACACAUGCAAGUCGGACGGAUCAGGUAUGACAGCUUGCUGUAGUGCCUGGUUAGUGGCGGACGGGUGAGUAACGCGUGAGGACCUACCCUGGAGAGGGGGAUAACGGCUGGAAACGGCUGCUAAUACCCCGUAAGCCUGAGGGUGAAAGGGAGCGAUCUGCUCCGGGGCGGCCUUGCGUCCUAUCAGCUAGUUGGUGGGGUAAUGGCCUACCAAGGCGAAGACGGGUAGCCGGCCUGAGAGGGCGACCGGCCACACUGGAACUGAGACACGGUCCAGACUCCUACGGGAGGCAGCAGUGGGGAAUAUUGGGCAAUGGGGGGAACCCUGACCCAGCGACGCCGCGUGAGGGACGAAGUCCUUCGGGAUAUAAACCUCUGUUGUGGGGGAAGAAGUCAGUGACGGUACCUCACGAGGAAGCCCCGGCAAACUACGUG
RNAcentral lists this ribosomal RNA (457 nucleotides) under uncultured bacterium. RNAcentral's name for it is "bacterial SSU rRNA". It matches the Rfam family "Bacterial small subunit ribosomal RNA", at positions 33 to 507 of the family's 1533-position model. The record is from RNAcentral.